UACGUAGGGAGCAAGCGUUGUCCGGAAUCAUUGGGCGUAAAGCGCGCGUAGGCGGCCCUGUAAGUCCGCUGUGAAAGUCAAAGGCUCAACCUUUGAAAGCCGAUGGAUACUGCAGGGCUGGAGUCCGGAAGAGGCGAGUGGAAUUCCUGGUGUAGCGGUGGAAUGCGCAGAUAUCAGGAGGAACACCGAUAGCGAAGGCAGCUCGCUGGGACGGUACUGACGCUAAGGCGCGAAAGCGUGGGGAGCGAACAGG
RNAcentral lists this ribosomal RNA (253 nucleotides) under uncultured bacterium. Its description in RNAcentral is "partial 16S ribosomal RNA". It matches the Rfam family "Bacterial small subunit ribosomal RNA", at positions 524 to 776 of the family's 1533-position model. The record is from RNAcentral.